UCCAGCAGUAGUCAGCCAUCCGGACAGAACCGUUCCUGUGAUGGUGUUACACUGCUGGGAGAGGAAUGUCUUGUCUUCAUCCGGUUGCCUGUGCCACCGUUCUGGUGGCGUCUGGCACUGGUACAAGACAGACUGUGCUUCCCCGAGAGUGUGCUAAGCAUUCACUUUGGCUGCUUAGUUCUAGUCUGGGAGCAGACAGA
Molecule: small nucleolar RNA, 200 nt
Organism: Colobus angolensis palliatus
Lineage: Eukaryota; Metazoa; Chordata; Mammalia; Primates; Cercopithecidae
Gene: SNORA74
Rfam family: Small nucleolar RNA SNORA74
About the family: U19 belongs to the H/ACA class of snoRNAs. snoRNAs bind a number of proteins (including dyskerin, Gar1p and Nop10p in the case of the H/ACA class) to form snoRNP complexes. This class are thought to guide the sites of modification of uridines to pseudouridines by forming direct base pairing interactions with substrate RNAs.
Source: Ensembl